GGAGAGGUGGCUGAGUGGUCGAAAGCGGCGGUCUUGAAAACCGUUGUACCGCAAGGUACCGGGGGUUCGAAUCCCUCCCUCUCCGCCA
RNAcentral lists this transfer RNA (88 nucleotides) under Gammaproteobacteria bacterium. RNAcentral's name for it is "tRNA-Ser". It matches the Rfam family "tRNA". From Rfam's summary of the family: Transfer RNA (tRNA) molecules are approximately 80 nucleotides in length. Their secondary structure includes four short double-helical elements and three loops (D, anti-codon, and T loops). RNAcentral also lists the same sequence under 1 other name. The record is from RNAcentral. Lineage: Bacteria; Pseudomonadati; Pseudomonadota; Gammaproteobacteria.